AUUAUUGGCAUCCUCCCACGAGCUCCUACCAGGCCAGUGCCAGAAACACUCAUCUACUCCCUUAUGGAAGAUCACUGAGUCAUGAGAUCUGUGGUUUGUCUGAUUCUCCACUUCCCGAAGCCAGCCAAGGCUAACCGACCUGGGAUUCUGAGAGACUGUCCAGAGGUUGGAGGUCUGGAGGAAGAGGACUCCCUCUUUUACUUCAUUCAGUUGUCCCCCACAUCCUCAGCAGUAGAAGUGUUUCUUGCCAUUUUAGCUUUCAGAGGCCAGUCUCAUUUUGUCCAGCAAUGACAGCAACAGCAAAACCUUCCUUUGGCCCUCAUUCACAAUACAGUGUUCUGGGAGGAGGCGGCUGACCAGCUGACUGCAGUGAUGAAGAAAGGAGUGUCCCACAGGACUCUGAUUCAGCAGGGACCUCCAGAGCUUCUGACUCAUGGGGGUGUGCUCCCAAGGGACAUAGGUGUGUCUUCAAGUGCCAAGAAUGAAUGGGAACUGGCUUCUGCACUUGGCCCUGUGAGAACAGCCUAAGCCAAGGGAGGGGAGAUUCUAAAAGAAAUGACUGUAAUUAAAGGUAGAAAAAAG
This 582-nucleotide long non-coding RNA is filed under the name Homo sapiens (human). RNAcentral describes it as "non-protein coding lnc-LGALSL-1:1". Lineage: Eukaryota; Metazoa; Chordata; Mammalia; Primates; Hominidae. The record is from RNAcentral.